Molecule: ribosomal RNA, 483 nt
Filed under: uncultured bacterium
Lineage: Bacteria
Description: bacterial SSU rRNA
Rfam family: Bacterial small subunit ribosomal RNA
Source: RNAcentral
AGGGUUCGAUUCUGGCUCAGGAUGAAUGCUGGCGGCAUGCCUAAUACAUGCAAGUCGAGCGGUAACAUGAAUAGCUUGCUAUUGAUGACGAGCGGCGGACGGCUGAGUAACGCGUGGGAACAUACCCCAGACUGAGGGAUAACUACUCGAAAGAGUAGCUAAUACCGCAUACGAUCUACGGAUUAAAGCUUUCGGGCGGUUUGGGAAUGGCCUGCGUACGAUUAGAUAGUUGGUGAGGUAAUGGCUCACCAAGUCGACGAUCGUUAGAUGGUUUGAGAGGAUGAUCAUCCAGACUGGGACUGAGACACGGCCCAGACUCCUACGGGAGGCAGCAGUAGGGAAUCUUUCACAAUGGGCGAAAGCCUGAUGGGAAGCAAUGCCGCGUGCAGGACGAGGGCCUUCGGGUUGUAAACUGCUUUUAUAAGUGAGGAAUAUGACGGUAACUUAUGAAUAAGGAUCGGCUAACUACGUGCCAGCAGCCGC